This 1530-nucleotide ribosomal RNA is filed under the name Escherichia coli KTE8. Its description in RNAcentral is "bacterial SSU rRNA". It matches the Rfam family "Bacterial small subunit ribosomal RNA". Lineage: Bacteria; Pseudomonadati; Pseudomonadota; Gammaproteobacteria; Enterobacterales; Enterobacteriaceae. The record is from RNAcentral.
AGAGUUUGAUCAUGGCUCAGAUUGAACGCUGGCGGCAGGCCUAACACAUGCAAGUCGAACGGUAACAGGAAACAGCUUGCUGUUUCGCUGACGAGUGGCGGACGGGUGAGUAAUGUCUGGGAAACUGCCUGAUGGAGGGGGAUAACUACUGGAAACGGUAGCUAAUACCGCAUAACGUCGCAAGACCAAAGAGGGGGACCUUCGGGCCUCUUGCCAUCGGAUGUGCCCAGAUGGGAUUAGCUUGUUGGUGGGGUAACGGCUCACCAAGGCGACGAUCCCUAGCUGGUCUGAGAGGAUGACCAGCCACACUGGAACUGAGACACGGUCCAGACUCCUACGGGAGGCAGCAGUGGGGAAUAUUGCACAAUGGGCGCAAGCCUGAUGCAGCCAUGCCGCGUGUAUGAAGAAGGCCUUCGGGUUGUAAAGUACUUUCAGCGGGGAGGAAGGGAGUAAAGUUAAUACCUUUGCUCAUUGACGUUACCCGCAGAAGAAGCACCGGCUAACUCCGUGCCAGCAGCCGCGGUAAUACGGAGGGUGCAAGCGUUAAUCGGAAUUACUGGGCGUAAAGCGCACGCAGGCGGUUUGUUAAGUCAGAUGUGAAAUCCCCGGGCUCAACCUGGGAACUGCAUCUGAUACUGGCAAGCUUGAGUCUCGUAGAGGGGGGUAGAAUUCCAGGUGUAGCGGUGAAAUGCGUAGAGAUCUGGAGGAAUACCGGUGGCGAAGGCGGCCCCCUGGACGAAGACUGACGCUCAGGUGCGAAAGCGUGGGGAGCAAACAGGAUUAGAUACCCUGGUAGUCCACGCCGUAAACGAUGUCGACUUGGAGGUUGUGCCCUUGAGGCGUGGCUUCCGGAGCUAACGCGUUAAGUCGACCGCCUGGGGAGUACGGCCGCAAGGUUAAAACUCAAAUGAAUUGACGGGGGCCCGCACAAGCGGUGGAGCAUGUGGUUUAAUUCGAUGCAACGCGAAGAACCUUACCUGGUCUUGACAUCCACGGAAGUUUUCAGAGAUGGAUUGGUGCCUUCGGGAACUGUGAGACAGGUGCUGCAUGGCUGUCGUCAGCUCGUGUUGUGAAAUGUUGGGUUAAGUCCCGCAACGAGCGCAACCCUUAUCCUUUGUUGCCAGCGGUCCGGCCGGGAACUCAAAGGAGACUGCCAGUGAUAAACUGGAGGAAGGUGGGGAUGACGUCAAGUCAUCAUGGCCCUUACGACCAGGGCUACACACGUGCUACAAUGGCGCAUACAAAGAGAAGCGACCUCGCGAGAGCAAGCGGACCUCAUAAAGUGCGUCGUAGUCCGGAUUGGAGUCUGCAACUCGACUCCAUGAAGUCGGAAUCGCUAGUAAUCGUGGAUCAGAAUGCCACGGUGAAUACGUUCCCGGGCCUUGUACACACCGCCCGUCACACCAUGGGAGUGGGUUGCAAAAGAAGUAGGUAGCUUAACCUUCGGGAGGGCGCUUACCACUUUGUGAUUCAUGACUGGGGUGAAGUCGUAACAAGGUAACCGUAGGGGAAUCUGCGGUUGGAUCACCU